GCCUACCCCUGGUGUAGCGGUUUGAGUGCUGGAUUAUGACUCUGGAGACCAGGGUUCAAAUCCCAGCGCAGCCA
Phrynosoma platyrhinos (Desert horned lizard) is the source of this 74-nucleotide non-coding RNA. Lineage: Eukaryota; Metazoa; Chordata; Lepidosauria; Squamata; Phrynosomatidae. The record is from the annotation of a GenBank genome assembly.